CCUACGGGAGGCAGCAGUGAGGAAUAUUGGUCAAUGGACGAGAGUCUGAACCAGCCAAGUCGCGUGAAGGAUGACUGCCCUAUGGGUUGUAAACUUCUUUUAUAUGGGAAUAAAAUGUUCCACGUGUGGGAUUUUGUAUGUACCAUCUGAAUAAGGACAGGCUAACUCCUUGCCAGCAGCCGCGGGAAUACGGAGGAUCCGAGCGUUAUCCGGAUUUAUUGGGGUUAAGGGGUGCGUAGGCGGAAGGUUAAGUCAGCGGUAAAAUGUCGGUGCUCAACACCGGACUGCCGUUGAAACUGGUAUUCUGGAGUGAGCGAGAAGUAUGCGGAAUGCGUGGUGUAGCGGUGAAAUGCAUAGAUAUCACGAAGAACUCCGAUUGCGAAGGCAGCAUACCGGCGCUCAACUGACGCUGAGGCACGAAAGCGUGGGGAUCGAACAGGAUUAGAUACCCUUGUAGUC
This 459-nucleotide ribosomal RNA is filed under the name uncultured bacterium. Its description in RNAcentral is "partial 16S ribosomal RNA". It matches the Rfam family "Bacterial small subunit ribosomal RNA", at positions 338 to 795 of the family's 1533-position model. The record is from RNAcentral.